Molecule: ribosomal RNA, 478 nt
Filed under: uncultured Planctomycetales bacterium
Lineage: Bacteria; Pseudomonadati; Planctomycetota; Planctomycetia; Planctomycetales
Description: bacterial SSU rRNA
Rfam family: Bacterial small subunit ribosomal RNA
Source: RNAcentral
UUUCGCAAUGCCCGAAAGGGUGACGAAGCGACGCCGCGUGUGGGAAGAAGGCCUUCGGGUUGUAAACCACUGUCGGGAGUUAAGAAAUGCAAGGAUAUUAAUAGUGUCUUUGUUUGACUAAGGCUCCGGAGGAAGCCACGGCUAACUCUGUGCCGGCAGCCGCGGUAAUACAGAGGCGGCAAGCGUUGUUCGGAAUUAUUGGGCGUAAAGAGCACGUAGGCGGCUAUGUAAGUCGGUUGUGAAAGCCUUCCGCUCAACGGAAGAACAGCAUCCGACACUACAUGGCUUGAGUGCGGAAGGGGAGAGUGGAACUUCUGGUGGAGCGGUGAAAUGCGUAGAUAUCAGAAGGAACGCCGGCGGCGAAAGCGGCUCUCUGGCCCAUAACUGACGCUGAGUGUGCGAAAGCUAGGGGAGCAAACGGGAUUAGAUACCCCGGUAGUCCUAGCCGUAAACGAUGGGCACUAAGUAGAGGGGUUUU